AGUGAACGCUGGCGGUAGGCCCAACACAUGCAAGUCGAACGGCAGCACAGUAAGAGCUUGCUCUUACGGGUGGCGAGUGGCGGACGGGUGAGGAAUACAUCGGAAUCUACUUUUUCGUGGGGGAUAACGUAGGGAAACUUACGCUAAUACCGCAUACGACCUACGGGUGAAAGCAGGGGAUCUUCGGACCUUGCGCGAUUGAAUGAGCCGAUGUCGGAUUAGCUAGUUGGCGGGGUAAAGGCCCACCAAGGCGACGAUCCGUAGCUGGUCUGAGAGGAUGAUCAGCCACACUGGAACUGAGACACGGUCCAGACUCCUACGGGAGGCAGCUGUGGGGAAUAUUGGACAAUGGGCGCAAGCCUGAUCCAGCCAUACCGCGUGGGUGAAGAAGGCCUUCGGGUUGUAAAGCCCUUUUGUUGGGAAAGAAAAGCAGCAGGUUAAUACCCCGCUGUUCUGACGGUACCCAAAGAAUAAGCACCGGCUAACUUCGUG
RNAcentral lists this ribosomal RNA (492 nucleotides) under uncultured bacterium. Its description in RNAcentral is "partial 16S ribosomal RNA". It matches the Rfam family "Bacterial small subunit ribosomal RNA", at positions 29 to 507 of the family's 1533-position model. The record is from RNAcentral.